RNAcentral lists this non-coding RNA (28 nucleotides) under Homo sapiens (human). The record is from RNAcentral. Lineage: Eukaryota; Metazoa; Chordata; Mammalia; Primates; Hominidae.
UNGUCCUACCACUAGAGGGCAUGGUACA